CGGGGGGGGCAAGCGUUGUUCGGAAUUACUGGGCGUAAAGGGCUCGUAGGCGGCCAUCUAAGUCAGACGUGAAAUCCCUCGGCUUAACCGGGGAACUGCGUCUGAUACUGGACGGCUUGAGUUUGGGAGAGGGAUGCGGAAUUCCAGGUGUAGCGGUGAAAUGCGUAGAUAUCUGGAGGAACACCGGUGGCAAAGGCGGCAUCCUGGACCAACACUGACGCUGAGGAGCGAAAGCCAGGGGAGCAAACGGGAUUAGAUACCCCGGUAGUCCUGGCCCUAAACGAUGAAUGCUUGGUGUGGCGGGUAUCGAUCCCUGCCGUGCCGAAGCUAACGCAUUAAGCAUUCCACCUGGGGAGUACGGUCGCAAGGCUG
This 372-nucleotide ribosomal RNA is filed under the name uncultured organism. Its description in RNAcentral is "bacterial SSU rRNA". It matches the Rfam family "Bacterial small subunit ribosomal RNA", at positions 526 to 896 of the family's 1533-position model. The record is from RNAcentral.